GCCGGACGUGUUCCGGCUCUGUAAUGCCAGCGUGGGCGGUUCCAACUCCGUGAAAAGGCAGAGGACAGA
This 69-nucleotide non-coding RNA is filed under the name unclassified sequences. The record is from RNAcentral.